UGAUAAUUUAUUACUAUUUAAUCGUUUAGCUGGUAGACUGGUAAUCUACUAUUUACUGUUAACAGUAGAAUGCACAAAAUUAUAAGGAAAUUUUCAGCAAAGAAUGUUUAAUUAUAACAGAUGAUUUGUGUGCUUAUACUGCAUCAUGGGGCCCAUCAAGAGACACCAAAAGGGUUCAGUAAAACCAUCAAGCAUGACAGAUUCCGAAUACCAGGCUAGAGUUCACGGCUCAGGCUUCGAUAUAAGUAGAAUCUGUAAGGAUGAUUUCAAGAUUGAGCACCCAACUUUGAUUUCGAGUCUUCAUGAUACUGUCACCACUUCAACAGAGGAACCACAUAUCCCUUCCAAUAUUGAAAAACAAGCUGAAAUAACUUCUGUUAUUAAAAUUGUUAAUGUUCAUUUGAAUAAAGAUGAAAAUGGAGUGGAGCAUAACACUUACUGUUAUGAAUGCAUGAAAAUAAACAAACCAAAUAUGUAUUUGGUAGUCAGACGGGGGAGCUUGUUUUCGAUUUUUGUUGAAUUCUCAAGAGGCUUUGACCUACAAGAUGAUAAACUUUUAUUAACAUUUUUUAUAAAAGGCUGUGCAUAUCCCAGGACUGGAAAUGGGACUAAGGUUGUGGUGCCCGUACUUCCAAAAACGUUCUUUGCGAACAACUCAUAUUCAUGGAAUGCUUAUUGUGAACCAGUGUCAGGCAAUGGAAAAUACGUUAAAGUAUUUAUUCGACCACCAGCAAAUGCAAUUGUGCACAAAUGGAAAAUGCUAGUCAGUGCUGUGAUUAGUAAAACAAUUUGUAACUUUCAGUGUCCUGGUGAAAUUUACAUCCUUUUUAAUGCUUGGUGUAAAGAUGAUGAAACAUAUAUAGAAAGGAAUGAAAGAAGGAUGGAAUAUAUUAUAAAUGAUGUCGGAUUAGUGUUCAAAGGCACUGAUCAAUCUUACGAAAAAAAUGUUUGGAAAUAUGGACAGUUUGAACAAAAUAUUAUAGAUUGCUCACUCAUUAUAAUAAGCGAUAUUGCAAAAAUACCAUAUUCACAAUGCCAAAGUGCAAUACAAGUUGCUAUUGGAGUGAGAAAAGCUCUUAUAAAUCCACUUUUUAUUGAUAAUUUGAGACGUCUAAAAAAAUGUUGUAAAAAAGAAAUAAUUCAUAAAAAUAAUGGCAGCCAAUCGCCCCUAAAACAAUUCUUCAAAUCUGGGAUGCCAAUAGUAAAUGCAACACAUUCACUAAAAAUUGGAAUUAUUGUGACUGUACUGAGAUCAUUGGGCAUCGCUGCUCGUACAAUAACUGGUUUUAGGAUUUUAUUCAGUGAAGACCCAUCUUCCGUUAUAGACUACUUUUACAGUGAAGCAGGCCACCAUCCUUGGAGAGGGACAGAUGUGGUAAAAGAGUAUGCUGAGUGGGUUGAAGUCUACUUGAAUAGGAAUGAUGUUGGUAAAGAACAUUCUGGUUGGUGCUACCUUGAUGUUCAAUAUGGGCCUUCUCCUGUCACUGCUAUUAAAAAUAAACAAUCUCAAAUUCCAUACGAUACAGCGUUAGUGGUCCAGAAAUUGAAUGCUUCUAUAGUGUACUGGAAAGUUUUGCAGGGUGACAAGCCUCUUAAAUUUAUACGAAAAAGUAGUUUGAGGGUUUGCUCAAAAAUACUGACGAAAAAAAUUAACUCUUUUGAGGAAGAGGAUAUUUCUCAAAAUUAUAGGGAGGGGAAAAUAAUAGAUAGAAAAAACUCUAUUGCUUACACAACUCCCCCUCCACCGGAAAAGAGACAGACAAAACAGUCCACCAUAGAUCUCAGAGCUGCAGAAAAUAUUACCCUUUGGAAGGAUGGCAUUCCUUUUCUAUGUAACAAUACUGAUAGUACUGCAAGAGCAUUUUUUACUUACUCAUAUAAUAAUGAGCCAUCAAAUAAUGUGAGUUUAGAGUUUUGUCCACAGGGAUUUCCAAACGACGUGUUAAUAGGGAAUCCUUUUAGAGCUACAGCAGUUCUGUCAAACCUUGCUGAAGGAACUAAUUAUACAAUUAGAAUAAUUUGGCAAGUAUGGUCAAAAAUAACAUUUACAAAAAGAAUGAAUAUGAUUACCCGGGUAGCAAAAACAUUUAUAUUGAAUGCAGAAAGCAGUGUAACACAAGAACUUGUCUUAACGUUUAACGAUUAUAUUAAACAGCUGAAUGAAGUUGGCACAUUCAGUGUUCUCUGUCAGGCGACAGUCCUUGAAACCAAUUAUGAUUAUUUUUUUGAAAACGAUUUUAGGGUUAUACAACCUGAGUUACGAAUAAAACUCAUUGGAGAUUUAGAAUUGUAUAAGAAAUCAAUAUUAGAAGUCUUUUUAAUAAACACACUGCCGAUCAAUAUAGUGCAACCAAAAAUGAUUAUGGCGGAGUGCGAUUGUCAUAAAUGCGUGUUCAUAAAUUUUGACGUAAUAAAACCACAGGAUAGAGUUGUAGGUAGAUUUACAAUUAUACCCUACGGCAUUGGAAAAUACACAAUAACGGCAAGAUUGAUUGGAAAUAAUAUAGAAGCAACUACAUUUCUAGACACGAUUGUUCUUAAAUGAAGGUAUCAAGGAUAUACAAUUUUGAGAAUAUAUUAAAAUUUGUCGAUUGAUAACUUGUUAAGAAGCUGUCAUGUUCUUAGGCAAGACGAGGAGUCACAAUAUCAAAUCAAAUUUCAGGAAUAACUGACCAAUUUUUUUUAGAUACUUAUGUUUUUUACUGAGAAUUUACCAAUGAUAGGGGAAUUCAGAAAUGAAAUGCUCACUUGUUCUACAAUGCAAGCUGAUAUGCUGAUUAAAAUCAAGUUAUUUUCCUGGCAGUGCUGCAAACAGUAUUUGCACAAUCUAUUUAAAGCCUUUUGAAUAAGGAAAAUACGGAAGAAAAAUAUCCAUGAUGGUAUAGCACUGAUCUUUCUAAUGAAGUUUAUGUACAUGAUUAAUCUUUAUACCCAAUACAGAUUUUAUUAAUUAUG
Molecule: RNA transcript, 2955 nt
Organism: Cimex lectularius (bed bug)
Lineage: Eukaryota; Metazoa; Arthropoda; Insecta; Hemiptera; Cimicidae
Gene name: annulin-like
Exons: 19
Source: RefSeq, a predicted model, not a curated record